UACGGGGGGGGCAAGCGUUGUUCGGAAUUACUGGGCGUAAAGGGCUCGUAGGCGGCCAACUAAGUCGGACGUGAAAUCCCUCGGCUUAACCGGGGAACUGCGUCCGAUACUGGAUGGCUCGAGUUUGGGAGAGGGAUGCGGAAUUCCAGGUGUAGCGGUGAAAUGCGUAGAUAUCUGGAGGAACACCGGUGGCGAAGGCGGCAUCCUGGACCAACACUGACACUGAGGAGCGAAAGCCAGGGGAGCAAACGGG
This 253-nucleotide ribosomal RNA is filed under the name uncultured bacterium. Its description in RNAcentral is "partial 16S ribosomal RNA". It matches the Rfam family "Bacterial small subunit ribosomal RNA", at positions 524 to 776 of the family's 1533-position model. The record is from RNAcentral.